UACGGAGGGGGCUAGCGUUGUUCGGAAUUACUGGGCGUAAAGCGCGCGUAGGCGGCUUUGUAAGUUAGAGGUGAAAGCCCGAAGCUCAACUUCGGAAUUGCCUUUAAGACUGCAUCGCUAGAAUCGUGGAGAGGUGAGUGGAAUUCCGAGUGUAGAGGUGAAAUUCGUAGAUAUUCGGAAGAACACCAGUGGCGAAGGCGACUCACUGGACACGUAUUGACGCUGAGGUGCGAAAGCGUGGGGAG
RNAcentral lists this ribosomal RNA (245 nucleotides) under uncultured Sphingomonas sp. RNAcentral's name for it is "partial 16S ribosomal RNA". It matches the Rfam family "Bacterial small subunit ribosomal RNA", at positions 524 to 768 of the family's 1533-position model. Lineage: Bacteria; Pseudomonadati; Pseudomonadota; Alphaproteobacteria; Sphingomonadales; Sphingomonadaceae. The record is from RNAcentral.